This 172-nucleotide ribosomal RNA is filed under the name uncultured eukaryote. RNAcentral describes it as "partial small subunit ribosomal RNA". The record is from RNAcentral.
CAUGGAUGUUCGCAACCCGUCAAACCAGAUCAUGUCCGGUCCGUAAUUGUCGAUGACUUCGGUGAUUUUGGCCCGCCAUUGCUCUGAAAAUCCCUCGGCGGCGCCGGUCUCUUCGUUCCAGUAGAAGUCCGCAUACUGCGGGUCGAAGACGUCCCACGUCUUGCGCAUCCGG